RNAcentral lists this long non-coding RNA (8101 nucleotides) under Daucus carota (carrot). RNAcentral's name for it is "long non-coding RNA (DCAR_LNC006227)". The record is from RNAcentral. Lineage: Eukaryota; Viridiplantae; Streptophyta; Magnoliopsida; Apiales; Apiaceae.
ACAGAUAUGACAAACUGACAAGGAUCAUCACAGGCUGAAUCAACACCUGCCUCUUCGUACCCAAGAUUGAAGCCGAUCUCUUUCACCUCAAAAAUGGUAUCAGCAUCAUCUCUAUUAUAUACUGAAAUACUAAUCUCGUCUCCAGGUCCUGCCUCGUGACUACCCAAUUUCCAAUGGCUUAACCAUGUUGUAUAUUCAACUCCCUCAGAAAUGCCAUGACAGGCUGGACCAUAUAUGAUUAUUUUAUCCUUGGUCCUGUUGUUGAGUAUCAGAAAGAAUCUUUGCAUUAUCGCAAGGUUCCUUAAAAGAUUAUGAUGUUUUGUGUUGAAAUUGUACACGAUGCAGGUGUUUAAAUAUCUGAGUUUAGAAUGAGAUACGGUAAAGGAUACCGAAGAUAUGUUGCAUUGACUUGUGAAAACAUCUGGAACAUUGUUUCCAGGGUAAAAAAUGUUGAAUGCCUUGCCGGUAAACAAAUCCUGAAAUAUUCCCUGUAUGCAAAAACGCUGAAUAAUUAGAAGCAGAACAGUGCUCUAUGCUGUUUGAUAUGACAGCAGUCUAAGAGAUAUGACAGUAGUUCGUAAUUAUAAAGAGAGCAGCCUAAGAGAUAUGACAGCAGUUUGUAAUUAUAACAAGUACAGGCUGACAUAUAGGAAGCAGAAGAAGUGCCAUUAAACUGAUCCUUAGAAACCUAUCAACCCAUUAAAAAUCAAAUCAAACCAGGCCUCGAGACCAAAACCAUGUUAAGUAAUCAACUCAUCAACACUUAGCCUUUCCAGGAACAUAUAUCAUUCCACAGAUAUAAAAGUUGAGUGAAUUGCUACAGCUAUAUCUGACUUAUAUGGUAAUUUCAUAUAGAAACACAAACACAUAUAGGAGAAACAUGGGGGGGUUGAGUGAUCACCUGGAUUGUCACCUGGAUUGGACAUUUUGUGAUGAUACCAGUGAAGUUAUUGAAUAACUAUAUCUGCAUUAUUUUCUUGGCUUCCACAUCAUCGAUACCACAUUUUCUGAUAAAAUUCUUAUCUAUCUUUCCGAUUGGUACAAUCUUGAAUUUGGUGUCCAUUUCGGUUAGUUUCUUGCAUAGGAAAGGAGAGUUAUAUUUUUCAAAAUGUGAGCUUGGCUCAUUGGAUAUGAUUUUCUGCAAUAAUGGGCAGUCAAAAGCCGAAAGUGUCUCAAUUUUGCAUGGUAAAUCAAGCACUUGAAGCCGGUUGCAUUAUAUCAAUUGUAGAAGCCCGGGUCUUUUCAGACCUUCAAAGCAAUCUGGUAGGAAGCAGAUUGGGUUCUGACUCAAGCUUAAGAACACCAUUGACGAUGUGAAACAGAAAUCCAUGGGGAAAAGCAUUGUCAUGUAGAUUGCAAUUUACCAAACUCAAUCUAGUAAUGAAGUUGCAUGGUAAAGAAGUCAAUGAUAAUGGAGGACCUAUUCUUGAAUUACCGAAAUCAAUUCCAUUAGCAAUAAAAACUUUCAAGGAUUCCAUUUUUCUCUUAUCUACAGGGUGCAUUCCAAGAUUUGAACAACCUGAGAUGAUCAGUGUUUCCAGAUACUUUAGCAUGCAUAUAUUUUUUGGAAGCCUCUUCAAAAAAUUGCAGUGCUUUAAAUCCAACAAGACAAGUCCUUCAGCCAUUCUAAUAGAUUCAUCAAUCUCGACUAAACUCACACAAUCUUCACGGAUCAAUUGCUCCAGGACACAAAGUGUUGCAAAGUUGGGAGUUUCAACAAGGUCAUGGCAGUGGCUCAAAUUUAGAAACUUCAGUGAUCUGAGUAGCUGCGAGAUAUAAAAAAGAAGUGUUAAGCUAAACACAUAUUACAUGCCGUUUUCUAUAAAUUAUUUAUUCACGACAAGUCAGAACUUAGCAUGAAUACCAUGUCUCUGUGCACCAAUUUUUCCAACUUACUACUUUGCAUGUCGAUUGCAACUAAGCUGCUCAAAGGGAAGCCAUCUGGUUAAGAUCUUGAGGAGAAUUUUUUCCAAGAUAACCAUUUCAAAUUUUUAGGGAAUUGUUUGUAACCUCCACCUAGCCGCACAUUAUUGAUAUGCAAAUCUCUUUAGCCGAAAACUGUUAGUUGUAACCGACGCAGUUGUUUAAGUGUCUGAGUUUGGAAUGGGAUAUGAUACAGGACACUAAAGAUGGAUUGCAUUGACUAAUGAACCAUAUUGGAACACUGCUCCAGGGUAAAAAAUGCUGAAUGCCUUGCCACUCUCCGGAUCUUGAAAUAUUCCCUGUAUAGUGAAAUCGCUAAAUAAACUGAUGAAUAUAAUUCUUGUAAUUUGUCCUUUCAAGCAGUUAAUAAGGAUACAAAUAACUACUUUUUCUGUUGUGUCAUUUAACCAAGACAAAAUCAACAUAGUUAUAUUUAUUUCACUUGAUAAAAAGAAAAACCAAAACAUUUAACAGUCUAGUAGAUUUCAUUGUCAGUCCGUAAUUAUAAAACUUCCAAGCUGACAGAUAACAAAGCAAUAAAGAGCUUUUCUCCUUUCAUUUACUUUGAAACAGAGGAAGUGCAUAGAAACAUAUAUAUAGAGAGAGGGAGGGAUCACCUGGAUUGAGUAUCAUUAUAAAUCUUCAAGCGCUUGAAGCUGUUUGCAUUCCAUGAAUUGCAGAUUCUUGAAUAUUUUGAGACCCUAGAAGCAAUCUGGUAGAAAGCGGAUUGGGUUCUUACUCAGGUUUAAACUUUCAAGUAAGGGUGGAAAACAGUAAUCUUUGUGAAACAAGCUACUGAGAGUUGAGGACCUAUUCUUAAUUUUGAAACAAAACCCUGGAUGAAAUCUAGCCAUGUGUUAAAGCAAGAAGAGGCCACUAGGAUGAUGAUGAAGGUUCGAGACCUUAGCAGGGGUGAACAUACAUGUUAAUCUUAGAAGAGUUGUUAGAGUCUACAAUACACAUUAAUUUUUGUUAACGAGUUGUGCUCACUGUAAAGUUGUGAUCAAACAGUCGGUGAGUAUCUCAUCAAUUCUUCCCGGAAUAUAAGAUGGAAUCCCUCUAUCACGGUUACCAAGGAAGUAUACUUGUGUGGCUCCAUAAUGUUGAUCUGGCUCUGCUCCCACUGGGAUGACAUACUCAUCAACACUUGCCUCUUCUGGCCCUUCUUCAUAUACCACAUUCACGCCUAUCUCUUUGGGAGGUUCAUAAUUGUAGCCUGUCCAUACCCACCAUACUGAUACAUUGACCUCAUCUCCAGGUCCCAUUUCGUGACUGCCAAAUGUCCAAUGGCUUAACCAUGUCAUAUCUCCACCUCGUUCAGCCAUGCCAUAACAACAUCGAUCAUAUAAGAUUAUCUUGUCCUUGCUUCUGUUAUGGAUUACCAGAUAUACCUCGGGAGAAGAUUUCAGGACCACGCAGAUGUUUAAGCAUUUGAGUUUAGAAUGAGAUACGGUAAAGGAUAUCGAAUAUGCUUUGUGUUGACAAGUGAAACCUGUCGGUACACUGCUCCCUGGGUAAAAUAUGUUGAAUAUCUUGUUACCAUAAGGCGUAUCCUCAAAUAUUCCCUGUACAGUGAAAUAGCUGAAUAAACACAAAUACAAAAUAUAUUUUCGUGUAUGGAGAGAGAAAGAGAAACCACCUGGAUUGGCCAUGUUCCGCCUGCUGUGAACACAAUCAUUAACGUCAUUUGGAUUUUCUUUAUCGCUUCCACAUCAAAAAUACCACAACUGUUAAUGAAUUUUGAGUCUAUUUCUCCUAUCGGUACCAUCUUGUACAAACUUUGCAUCUCUAUUAGUUUCUCGCAUUUGAAUACGUUAACAGUAUCAAAAGAAAACUUAAACGGCCCAUUGAACGUAAUUUUUUCUAAUAAUCGGCAAGAACCGGCACUAAUGAGCUUUAACAUGUUUGGUAUACCUUCGAGUGCUUGAAGCUGCUUGCAUUUUUCUGUCUGGAGAGUCUUGAGCCUUUUCAGGCCUUUAAAGCAAUCUGGUAAGAAGCGGAUUGGGUUCUUGCUCAAGUCUAAGAACUCCACUGAGUGUCCGAAAAAUAAAUCCUUGGGAAAAUCAUAAUCAUGGAGAUUGCAAUUCACCAGACUCAAUUUAGUAAUGCCUUCGGACGGUAACGAAGUCAACGAGAGUUGAGGAGUUUUUGGAACCCAACCCCAGAUGAAAUCUCGCCAUGUUUUAUUUUCCACAGUUGUUUUGCUUGAACUACCAAAAUCAAUUCCAUCAGCAAGAAAAGCUUUUAAAGAUUCCAUGUGUUUCAUCUCUGCAGGAAGCUUGUCAAGGUUUGAACAUCCUGAGAUGAUUAGUGUUUCCAGAAACUUCAGCAUGCCAAUAUUCUUCGGAAGCGUCUUCAAAAGUUUGCAGUCCUUUAAAUUUAACAGCACAAGUCCAGCAGCCAUUCCAAUAGACUCGUCAAUCUCGACUAAACUCACACAAUCUUCGACUAUCAAUUGCUCUAGAGCAAUGAGUUCUGCAAAGUUGGGACUUUUCACGAGGUCAUGGGAGUGACUCAGAUCAAGAAACUUGAGUGAUUUAAAAAGCUGCAAAAUAAAUUAAAAAAGAAGGAAAGAAGCUUCAACUUCAUAAAUCUAUAAAAGAACCUUUAAUAUAUACAUAAAAUUUGAAGACGAGGCAGAACUUGGUAUGGUUACCAUGCUUCCCUGCCCCAGUUUUUGCAAUUUACUUCUUUGCAUCUCAAUUACGACUAGGCUAGUUGAAGGAAAGCCUUCGGGUAAAGCUUUUAAAGGGCAUUCAAGCCAAUAUAACCAUUCCAACUUUUUAGGGAAGUCCUCGUAACCACCAUUUAGCCGCACAUUAUCAAGCUUAAGUAGUCUAAGCUUGUGCAUCCUGGAGAAAGCUGAUGUUCUCAACUCCACCUGACAUACAUUAGCCCUAUUCAAUUCCAGUGCUAAGCCUUCAAUUGCUCUAGUUCCCUGGUAGAAGCAGUGUGCAAUUAUAAUAACACUUUCACAUGAACAAGAUGUAAUUGUUCUAAUGAUCAUACAAUAAAUUUUCUUACUGUUUUAUCUUUUAAUACUUCGAGGGAGUCUUUAUAAUGCCACAGUCUACUUCGUUCCCCUGGUUCUUUUGGUGAUUGCUGGCGGAUAAUUUCUCUACCCAUGCUCUGAAUUAAAUGAUGCAUUGUGAGGUUUCCAAAUUCAAUUUUCAACAGACAUCUAUCAAUAAGUUUUUCAAUUGCAAUUCUUGUCUGAUAUUUGCGUUCAUCCAAUAUCAUGACCACCCGUGACAUGGCCUCUCCACAAAAGAAACAUGCAAUAUCAAGGAAUAAAUCUCUAUCACAGUCCUGCUCCAAAGAAUCAUAGCUUAUUUGCAAUAUUUUCUGAAUUUUGUGGUGAGGAAUUACUUCCAAUUUCUCUAUCGCACUUCUCCAAACAUCCAACACUUUGUCACGUACAUAAGCACCUAAAACUUCAAGGGCUAAAGGGAGACCUUCACUUUGCUUUAAUAUCUUCUGUGAGUGCUUUUUGUAAUAUUCUGGUGGGCAACUCUCUCGGAAUGCAUGGCGGCUGAACAGCUCUGAGGAAUCCUGAAGAUUCAGUGUUUCCACAGCAUGUCUUGUACAAGGUUCACGAGCUUUCAGCAAAUCUACAUCCCGAGUUGUGAGGAUGAUCUUGCUUCCAGGGUGGAAAUACUCUCGCAUCCCAAAGACUGCAUCUAAUUGUUCAACUUGAUCUACAUCAUCCAAGACUAUCAGCAGUUUCCUAAGACGAACAGCUCUUUGUAUCUUACAAAUGCCAUCAUUAAUAUUGUUGAUGGUUGGGGUGUUUCCCUUAGAUAUAUCCGCAAGAAGCUGUCUUUGCAAACAAACCAAACCAUCCCACCUUUCAGAGUAUUCUCUUAUAUUUUCUAAGAAACUGCAGCCUUCAAAUAAUUGGAAGUUCAUGUUAUAAACGUAUUUUGCAAUGGUCGUCUUUCCCACUCCACCGAUACCAUAGAGUGCAAACACUUCCACAUCGUUGGAACCAUUUCUUAUCCAUGAAUUUAUGGCCUCUGCUGUAGCUUUGAUUCCGACAAGAUGUGGUGUUAUACUUAAGAUGUUAAAAGCCACUUUAUCACUGACGCGCUUGACUAUAUCCUUGAUAAAUUCGGCUUCGUGCCUACAGAAUGAAAAGAUUAGUGAGAAAUUUUAGAUUAAACUGAUAGUUCACUGAUCACUGAUAAUUACGUUAAUAUGGAUAUGGAACUAGUUUAUUUUGGUUCAUAAUUAGAAAAGCAAUGGUUAGACACCUUGACGUAUAAAAUAUGAUGUGAAGUCUUAUAAAAAAUUACCCAUUUGUUCCAUGCGGAAACGUCAUGCCUGCCAAGUCAGCAACCUGGGCAAGAGCCGUCCUCCAUCGCUUUAUUUUGUGCACCAACUCACUCCUUGUUGUAUCAUCCCCUUCUCUCUUGAACUUCUCUUCAUGCAUAUAAAAUGCUUGAGAAACAGAACCAGAUUGUUUACGAAUAUCGGAUGGGUCAACAUGGUAAAAAAUAGGCAGUAGAAGACGUUUUGAGUUGUUCCUGCACUGGAGAAUCAUCACAAGUUCGUCAAGGCACCAACUGGAGAACACAUAGUUCUCUGAGAAUACAAUUAUCCAACUUCUGGACUCCUGAAUACUUUCUUCUAACUCAGAUUUAAUAGUCUCUCCCCUCUCAAUUUCCUCAUUAUCUCUGAAUACGAUUAAACCUUCAUUUACUAGAGCAGUGUAGAGGUGAUCUGUAAAGGUUUUGUGUGUGUCUUCACCUCUAAAACUCAAAAAAGCAUCAUACUUGUACUUGUCAGAUGAUGAAUCAACUGACUCCUGUUUCGGCAUGACUAAAGAAAUCUAAUCAGCUCUGUCUGAUUCUUGAUGUGAUGAAUUGGGCUGAAGAGACAAUAACAAUAUGAUUGUAUAUAAAGGUCAGUAAUCCCUGACUUGAGAAACCACUAAAACCAUAUAUAAGAAGCAUCAAAUUAUGUCUGAAAUGAGGACACGCUUACUUUUAAAUAGAAAAAUAUGUUAAUCCACAACAUAAUCCAAAAAAAAAAGAGAAAAAAGACAUGCAUCUGUUAUAUUAAGCAAUCAGUUAAAAAUUGAAUUAUGAAAGCUUACAAGUGAAUAUGGCAGUAUGAGAAAAUGUAAAUAGGCAGAGAGAGCUGAAGAAGCUUGAGGGAGACUUGAAGUCUAGAUCAAUUAUUGACACUUGGGGUCAUGCUUUUAGCAUGUAUAUAUUGACUCUAAUGGAGACUCUGGUGGGGCCUCAAGGUGUUGAGGUUUAAACUAAGACCAUUUGCUAGUGAGAAAUCAUUCAUUUGAGUCAAUGUGAUACAUUCCGCCCUUCUUUUCAUAUUGCAAACAAAAAUUUUAACAUACAUUACAGUACCCUUAUCAAUGUCAUAAAAAAGAAAAAUACGCACUUAAAGAUAAUAGUCAAGGUGCACGAAAGCUGCCACUGACCGGAAAAAAUAAAAGCGUAUACAUGGCAACGAUAGGCGGCAGCAGAUUUUCUGAGUUGUUCCUCGGCAGCAGACACGUCUUAAAUUUUCAUCACAGUCACGUUUUCUUCAUCAGCAGACGUUUUGAGUUGGCUCUGCCUCCACCAGGAUAGCAUACUCACAAGUUUGAUGUCUGCUUUCUUGCCCUUCAAAUUCACUUCCUGGGUGUAAGAUGUCACUUCUCUAUACAAUUCAUAUGUUCUGUAUGAGUGAGUAUGACCCUUUUUCGGAACUAAAUGUUCUAUAUCAACUUAAAUUGAAAAUUAUAACAUAAACUUGCUGGGUGCAAGACUGAACUUGUAAAUUUCAGAGUAAUAUUUUCUUCAUUAGACUAUCAGCAUGUACUCCGUGAUCACCAAGAAAGUAUAGCUGUGUUGUUCCGUGAUAUUCUGAUGGCUGUUGUUUGACAGAUAUGACAAACUGACAAGUAUCAUCACAGGCUGAAUCGACACCUGCCUCUUCGUACCCAAGAUUGAAGCCAAUCUCUUUCACCUCAAAAAUGGUAUCAGCAUCAUCUCUAUUAUAUACUGAAAUACUAAUCUCGUCUCCAGGUCCUGCCUCGUGACUACCCAAUUUCCAAUGGCUUAACCAUGUUGUAUAUUCAACUCCCUCAGAAAUGCCAUGACAGGCUGGACCAUAUAUGAUUAUUUUAUCCUUGGUCCUGUUGUUGAGUAUCAGAAAGAAUCUUUGCAUUAUC